UACGUAGGUGGCAAGCGUUGUCCGGAUUUACUGGGCGUAAAGAGCGCGCAGGCGGUCGUUCAAGUCGCGUGUGAAAGCCCCCGGCUCAACUGGGGAGAGUCACGCGAUACUGAUCGACUCGAAGGCAGGAGAGGGAAGUGGAAUUCCCGGUGUAGCGGUGAAAUGCGUAGAUAUCGAGAGGAACACCUGCGGCGAAGGCGGGUUGCUGGGCUGAUACUGACGCUGAGGCGCGAAAGCCAGGGGAGCGAACGGG
RNAcentral lists this ribosomal RNA (253 nucleotides) under uncultured bacterium. Its description in RNAcentral is "partial 16S ribosomal RNA". It matches the Rfam family "Bacterial small subunit ribosomal RNA", at positions 524 to 776 of the family's 1533-position model. The record is from RNAcentral.